Molecule: small nuclear RNA, 279 nt
Filed under: Octodon degus (degu)
Lineage: Eukaryota; Metazoa; Chordata; Mammalia; Rodentia; Octodontidae
Description: 7SK RNA (ENSODEG00000023428.1)
Rfam family: 7SK RNA
About the family: 7SK was discovered as an abundant small nuclear RNA in the mid-70s but a possible function has only recently been suggested. Two independent studies have found that 7SK RNA binds the CDK9/cyclin T complex (known as elongation factor P-TEFb).
Source: RNAcentral
GGAUGUGAGGGCGCUCUGGCUGUCACAUCUGUCACCCCAUUGAUCACCAGGGUUGAUUCAGAUGAUCUAGCUAGCAGGGUGUCCCCUUCCUCCCUCAAUGCUCUAUGUGCAUCCCUCCCCAAGCUGUGCACAAAGAGGAUGCCCACCCCCAUAGAGGAAGACCGCUCCUCAGUCAGAAGGACACCCUUGACCUCAGCAGCUGCGCUCCCCUACUAGAACCUCCCAACAAGCUCUCAAAAAUUCUUUAAAUUUUUUGAUUCCUUAAAAAAUAAUUUUAAA